GACGAACCGUGCGAACGUUGUUCGGAUUCACUGGGCUUAAAGGGCGCGUAGGCGGGCCAGCAUGUCCGGGGUGAAAUCUUUCGGCUUAACCGGAAAAGGGCUUCGGAAACGGCUGGUCUUGAGGGAGGUAGGGGCAGGUGGAAUUUCCGGUGGAGCGGUGAAAUGCGUUGAGAUCGGAAGGAACGCCGGUGGCGAAAGCGACCUGCUGGACCUCUUCUGACGCUGAGGCGCGAAAGCCAGGGGAGCAAACGGG
This 253-nucleotide ribosomal RNA is filed under the name uncultured bacterium. Its description in RNAcentral is "partial 16S ribosomal RNA". It matches the Rfam family "Bacterial small subunit ribosomal RNA", at positions 524 to 776 of the family's 1533-position model. The record is from RNAcentral.